GAAUGGGGUGUAGAGCCAGGGGGAAAACACAAAAUAAACCACCUGCUACUAGAAACAGCCUCGCUGUCCUCAGGGAGCCGGUCCCGGGGCCAGCCUCGCUGUCCUCAAGGAGUCGAUCCCGGGGCCAGCCUCGCUGGACUCAGAAAGUCGGUUCCAGGACCCCAUGGACACCAAAUCCAGGCACAUUCAAGCCGCACAGGUGGACCUGCCGAACCUGCGUGUACAAAGAGUCGGCCCUCCGACACGCGUUUCACAUGGCAGGAACACUGUAUUUUCUGCGUGUACAAAGAAUCAGCCCUCCGACAUGCGUUUCACGUAGCAGAACACUGUAUUUUCUCCCUGAGUUUGGUUGAAAAAAUCCACCUAUAAGUUGACCCGCAAAGCUCAAGCUUGUGUUGGACAAGAGUCAACUGUAUGCAAUUGACACUGAUUCCUACCAACAAUAUCCAAAUCUUACCAUGACCAGCACGAUAAACAGAAUGAGCAAAAUUUAAAAACUAAAGCAGAGUUUUUUCCUGCGAGUUGGCGCACUGCGUAUCCCCUGUGGGAAAGACCACACUGGCUGCUGACCAAACUCCACCGGCCUCUUCCUCCGUCCUGAGGGCAUCUUCCUCCAUCCUGACAGCAGCCUGGGCUCACCUCAGUCCCAGGGCGGGGAAGGGGGACGCACUGUGCACCCUCCCAGCUCUCCUCCGCCCCUUCUCUCAGGCUGGCCCAAGAGCAGCCUGGACAGUCACGUGCUGGGGACACCGCGCUGCCCCUCCUCCGCCCACAGCCUCAGGCCACCUGUCUCAUCUGUGACUGAGAAAUAGAGCUGCAGCUGGAGGCGGGAGGCGGGACACGCUGGGAUCUACCCAUGGCUGGGAUCUACCCAUGGCCAGGCCGAGCUGCUCGGAUCACUCAAACUUCACUUUCGUCACUCGCUCUACCAAAUAGACUAGAAUAAAAUACGCCGCGUCCUCCUUUCCACACACUCCCAAGCCUCCCAUCCCACUUCCCGGCGCUGGCCCCAUAAGAACACUUUGUGCGUCUUUCCAGGUAUUUUCUAUCCUCCUCAAGCACAGAACCACAUUCAGAGUGAAUUUUUCUUUUUUCUUUUUUUUAACAGAAAUGGCACCAGGGCAGAUGAUGAUUUUUUUGUAUCAUUUCUUUACUUUCUUGGGCAUUUUCCGCACCAGGACAGAUGGGUUCUGCUCUCCUUCCUCCCCGCCCAAAGCUGCCUCACAGCAGCCACACACAGAGCCGUAAACCCUCGCAAGACUGUGGGUGUCUCGGGGUGCCCCACGUCCCCAAAGACCAAGGGUCACAGAUCCACAUUGUCCAACAACACUUCAGACAUGGCCUCGAGCCUGGGAACCCUGCUGGCCAGCCCAGGCCAGCCCCAGAAUAGAGGUGUGAGGUGUAACAUCUGCACUUCUUAAAAAAAAAAAAAA
Molecule: long non-coding RNA, 1433 nt
Filed under: Macaca fascicularis (crab-eating macaque)
Lineage: Eukaryota; Metazoa; Chordata; Mammalia; Primates; Cercopithecidae
Description: lncRNA (ENSMFAG00000063817.1)
Source: RNAcentral